UGGGGAAUUUUGGACAAUGGGCGAAAGCCUGAUCCAGCAAUGCCGCGUGUGUGAAGAAGGCCUUCGGGUUGUAAAGCACUUUUGUCCGGAAAGAAAUCCUUGGCUCUAAUACAGUCGGGGGAUGACGGUACCGGAAGAAUAAGCACCGGCUAACUACGUGCCAGCAGCCGCGGUAAUACGUAGGGUGCAAGCGUUAAUCGGAAUUACUGGGCGUAAAGCGUGCGCAGGCGGUUUGCUAAGACCGAUGUGAAAUCCCCGGGCUCAACCUGGGAACUGCAUUGGUGACUGGCAGGCUAGAGUAUGGCAGAGGGGGGUAGAAUUCCACGUGUAGCAGUGAAAUGCGUAGAGAUGUGGAGGAAUACCGAUGGCGAAGGCAGCCCCCUGGGCCAAUACUGACGCUCAUGCACGAAAAGCGUGGGGAGCAAAACAGGAUUAGAUACCCCUGGUAGUCCACGCCCUAAAACGAUGUCAACUAGUUGUUGGGGGAUUCAUUUUCCUUAGUAACGUAGCUAACGCGUGAAGUUGACCGCCUGGGGAGUACGGUCGCAAGAUUAAAACUCAAAUGAAUUGACGGGGUCAUAGCUGUUUCCU
RNAcentral lists this ribosomal RNA (591 nucleotides) under uncultured bacterium. Its description in RNAcentral is "partial 16S ribosomal RNA". It matches the Rfam family "Bacterial small subunit ribosomal RNA", at positions 355 to 1375 of the family's 1533-position model. The record is from RNAcentral.